This 20-nucleotide microRNA is filed under the name Corchorus capsularis. RNAcentral describes it as "sRNA CCACVL1_11719". Lineage: Eukaryota; Viridiplantae; Streptophyta; Magnoliopsida; Malvales; Malvaceae. The record is from RNAcentral.
UGAGAAACAGAAGAAGAAAA